AGAAUGUGCAGGCCAAGGCUCAGGGAGCUGCUGAUGCAGUCAAGAAUGCCACUGGCAUGAACAAAUGAAGCUGCUCAUGAUGAUAAUCAUUUUCAUGACUUUUAAUGACUUUAUAGAUGAUAAAACUUUGAUUGAGUUUUUUUUUGGGUCGAACUUUGAUUUUUAUAGACUUUUAUGUAAUUUGUUUUUCUUUCUUACCUUCCGUUUCGAUGAAAGAAUUGAAAAUUGCAUAGAAUUCUAAAAUAACAGAAUUUAGAUUCCAAUCGGUUUAAUUUAUGUCAAUUAAUAAUUUCGGUGUUCGAAUUUAUGUAUGUCGAAUUUUGCAAAUAACAGAAAUUUCAGGGAAAAUAAAUUUCUUCCACUCAAUAGAAAUAGUGAAACGUCUCUUUUGGUUGAAAUUAAACUCGAAAAUUUUGAGUGCUUAAGUUUCGUACUUAAGUUGCCAAACAAUGGAAAUAUCAAAUCAUACUAUUCAAUUCCUGACUUUUAGCUAAACUCCGAGUUAUUUUCGUCCAUCUAAAUAGAGGGUAAUAGAGUAGUAUGAUUAGAAGGUAUGUAGUAUGACCCAAAGAAAACGACUUCUAAAUAGUAUCGUUUGAUCAUGAUGAAUUAAGUCAUGAGAUCUAUAUAACCAAAAUAAUUAUUCACGUAGAGAUUGAUGAAAAUCAAUUAUGAAAAUGCCAAAGUAAUUGCAUUGUUUCUUCUAACAAAGAUAACAUGGUCUCUUUGUUGUUCUAGUGGACUUCAUAAAUAAAUUCUAAUCAUGGCAGUGUUUAUUCAAACUAGUAACAUAUCUAUUAUAACCAAAAGUGUUGAGAUCCAAGUAUCACCUUUCCCCUAAGGUCUUUAAAGGCAGUUAAAUUAAAACAUGUAAAGAUCGCCUGACCAACAUCCAACCAAAAAAAAAAAAAAAAGUGCAGUACCUCUCUUGUAUCUCGCAAAAGAAAAAAAGAAGAUAGAAAUGAUGUGAAUGAACUUGGGGUAACUUUCAAGUAGAAAAACUCAUAUAGAGCUGGUGUAUGCAUUAUUUUUCUUGUAAUAAGUGGUCACAUAACUAAGCACGUGAAAGAAAGUAGUGUGCAUGAAAGAGCUGGUAUAUGCACUAUUUUUAUUGUUAUAAGUGGUCACAUAACUAAGCACAUGAAAGAAUAUAACAUGCAUGAUGAUGUAUAAAAUUUGUUACACGUAAAAGGCACUUGUCAAAAAAACUGAAGGACAAUAUCGCUUUUAACUCAUGUCGAGGAUAACCCAACAAGUUUAUAGAAUUUACUCAUAAGAUGUUCUGGCCUUUCAAUUAAAUAACAAUAUCUUAUGGAAUAUGGCAUAGUCUUGUGAAUUGUAAUUAAUUGAUAAUAUAAUCUAAUAUUACAAGACUCAACAUAUAUAACUGUCUCAAAACCCUCAGAAUAGCAAUUGCCGACAUGAAGAUAAGACUCAACAGCGUUCCUAGUCAAAAGGCUCACCCCAAGUUAUAGGGCGACACGUGUUAUAUAUGGUGCAAAACCAUGACCAGGAUGAAAUGUGUGCAUGGCAUCACACGUGUUGAGCAUUCAGCUGGUCCAAAAUCCUAUAUAUACCCUACCCAAUUGUGAGAUAUUCAUCAUUAGCAAAUCAAAUUUGAGUUAUAACAACUUUAUCUGAAUUUCAAGUGUUUUCAAGAAAACAAAGCAAGAAGAAAAUGGCUGACAACUCUCAGAAGAUGAGCUACCACGCUGGAGAGGCCAAGGGCCAAGCUCAGGUAAUUAGCUCACCUGUAAAUUAUAAUUCUCCAUUUGUUUUUGCUUCUUUCUUAUGUUUUCCUUUAGAUUGAUGGGGAUGUUUUGUAUUGGAUAAUUUUGGAUUUAACAGGAGAAGGCCAGUGGGAUGAUGGAUAAGGCUAACGAUGCAGCCCAAUCUACCAAGGAGACAAUGCAAGAUGUUGGUCAGAAUGUGCAGGCGAAGGCUCAAGGUGCUGCUGAUGCAGUAAAGAAUGCCACUGGCAUGAACAAAUGAAGUUGCUCAUGAUGAUCAUUUUCAUAACUUUUAAUGAAUUUAUAGGGUUAAGAUGAUGGCAAACUUUCAUUGAGUUUUAUAGACUUUUAUGUAAUUUUUUUUUCUUUCUUAUCCUUCUUUUGAAAGAAGGAAUUGAAAAUUGCAUAGAAUUCUAAAAUGAUGGAAUUUAGAUCUCCAUCAUUUUAAGUUACGGAAAUUAAUAAUUUCAGUGUUUGGAUUUAUGUAUGUCGAAUUUUGCAAAUGAAAUUUCAAGGAAAAACAAAUUCCUUCACUCAAUAGAAAUUGUGAAUGAUGUCUCUUUUGAUUGAAAUUAAACUCGAAAAUCUUGAGUGCUUAACUUUCGUGCUAAAGUAGCCAAACAAUGAAAAAAAUUAAAUUCUACGCUUCAAUUCUUAACUUUUAGCUAAAUAAUUAACGUACGGUAAUAGCAGUAUGUAGUAUGACCAAAAGAAAACGAAUUCUAAUAUUAUCUUUUGAUCAUGAUGAAUUAACUCAUGAGAUCUAUAUAAACAAAAUAAUUAUUCAUGUAGAGAUUUGAUGAAUAUCAAUUAUGAAUUCGUUGGGUUAGAGACUUUUUCACCUCAGAUUUCUAAAGGUCUCAUUCUGGGCCUGGGUGCCUUAGGGCUUUUUGAAAUAUCCACCAGUUGACCAAACACAUUAAAAUACACUCAAGUCAAGAGAACCAAACUAACACAAAAAUACAGAAUGUAAAUGAACUUGGGGUAACUAUCAAGUAGAAAUUUUUUUAUAGAGCUAGUGUAUGCAUUAUUUUCCUCGUAAUAAGUGUUCACAUAACUAAGCACGUGAAAGAAUGUAGCGUGCAUGAAAGAGCUGGUGUAUGCAUUAUUUUUCUUACAAUAAGUGGUCACAUAACUAAGCACGUGAAAGAAUAUAGCAUGCAUGAUGAUGUCUAAAACUCGUUACACGUAAGAUUUUUUGAGGUUAAAGAUAAAAUGAACACUUGUUCAGAAACUGAAGGACAAUAUUGCUUUUAACUCAUGUGGAGGAUAACCCAACAAGUUUAUUGGCAUUUACACAUAAGAUGUUCUGGCCUUUCAAUCAAAUAAUAAUAUCUUGUGGAUUAUGGAACAGUCUUGUGAAUUGUAAUUAAUUGUUAAUAUAAUUCAAUAUUACGAGAAUUUCAUAAUGCUAAAAAAAAGUAAUUUCCAUUCACAAAACUGUCCAAGAAACACUCAGAAUAACAACUUUUAAGACUCAACAGCCUUCCUGGUCAAACGGCUCACCCUAAAUUAUAGGGCGACACGUGUUAUGGUCCAAAACCAUGACUAGGAUGAAAUGUGUGCAUGACAUCACACAUGUCGAGCAUUCAGUUGGUCUAAAAUCGUAUAUAAACCAUACCCAAUUGUGAGAUAUUCAUCAUCAGCAAAUCAAAUUUGAGUUAUAACAACUUCAUUUGAAUUUCAAGUGUUUUCAAGAAAACAAAGCAAGAAGAAAAUGGCUGACAACUCUCAGAAGAUGAGCUACCACGCUGGAGAGGCCAAGGGCCAAGCUCAGGUAAUUAGCUCACCUGUAAAUUGUAAUUCUCCAUUUGUUUUUGCUUCUUUCUUCUGUUUUCUUUUAGAUUGAUGUGGGAUUUUUUGUAUUGGAUAAUUUUGGAUUUAACAGGAAAAGGCCAGUGGGAUGAUGGAUAAGGCUAACAAUGCAGCCCAGUCUACCAAGGAGACAAUGCAAGAUGUUGGUCAGAAUGUGCAGGCGAAGGCUCAAGGAGCUGCUGAUGCAGUCAAGAAUGCCACUGGCAUGAACAAAUGAAGCUGCUCAUGAUGAUAAUCAUUUUCAUGACUUUUAAUGACUUUAUAGAGUUAAGAUGAUGGCAAACUUUCAUUUAGUUUUAUAGACUUUUAUGUCUUUCUUUUUUUUUCUUUUUUUUUUCUUUUUUUUUUCUUUCUUACCCUUCUUUUGAAAGAAGGAAUUGAAAAUUGCAUAGAAUUCUAAAAUGAUGGAAUUUAGAUCUUCAUCAUUUUCAGUUAUGGCAAUUAAUAAUUUUAGGGUUCGAAUUUAUGUAUAUCGAAUUUUGCAAAUGAAAUUUCAGGGAAAAACGAAUUCCUUCACUCAAUAGAAAUUGUGAAAUGAUGUCUGCUUUGAAUGAAAUUAAACUCAGAAAUAUUGAGUGCUUAACUUUCGUGCUAAAGUAGCCAAACAAUGAAAAUAUCAAAUUCAACACUUCAAUUCCUAACUUUUAGGUAAAUAAUUAACAUAGGGUAAUAACAGUAUGUAGUAUGACCAAAAGAAAACGAAUUCUAAUAUUAUCUUUUGAUCAUGAUGAAUUAACUCAUGAGAUCUAUAUAACCAAGAUAAUUAUUCAUGUAGAGAUUGAUGAAUAUCAAUUAUGAAUUCGUUGGGUUUGAGACUAUUUCAUCUCUUAUUUCUAAAGGUCUCAUUCUAGGCCUGGGUACCUUAGAGCUUUUUGAAAUAUCCACCAGUUGACCAAACACAUUAAAAUGCACUCAAGUCAAGAAACAAGACUCCACAAAUCAGAAACACAAGAGAACCAAACUAACACAAAAAUACAGAAUGUGAAGGAACUUGGGGUAACUAUCAAGUAGAAAAAUUUCUAUAGAGCUGAUGUAUGCCUUAUUUUCCUCGUAAUAAGUAUUCACAUAACUAAGCACAUGAAAGAAUAUAGCGUGCAUGAAAGAGCUAGUGUAUGCAUUAUUUUUCUCAUAAUAAAUGGUCACAUAACCAAGCACAGGAAAGAAUAUAGUGUGCAUGAUGAUGUAUAAAACUCGUUACAAGUAAGAUUUUUUGUGUUAAAGACAAAAUGCACAAUUUCCUAGAAACUGAAGGAUAAUAUCACUUUUAACUCAUGUGGAGGAUAACCCAACAAGUUUAUUAGCAUUUACUCAUAAGAUGUUCUGGCCAUUCAAUCAAAUAAAAAUAUCUCGUGGAUUGUGGAAUAGUCUUGUGAAUUGUAAUUAAUUGAUAAUAUAACCCAAUAUUACAAGAAUUCCAUAAUGCUGAAAAAAGUAAUUUCCAUUCACAAAACUGUUUAAGAAACCCUCAGAAUAGCAACUUUUAAGACUCAACAGCCUUCCUGGUCAAAAGGCUCACCCUAAGUUAUUGGGCGACACGUGUUAUGGUCCAAAACUAUGACCAGGAUGAAAUGUGUGCAUGACAUCACACAUGUCGAGCAUUCAGCUGGUCUAAAAUCGUAUAUAAACCAUACCCAAUUGUGAGAGAUUCAUCAUCAGCCAAUCGAAUUUGAGUUAUAACAACUUCAUCUAAAUUUCAAGUGUUUUCAAGAAAACAAAGCAAGAAGAAAAUGGCUGACAACUCUCAAAAGAUGAGCUACCAUGUUGGAGAGGCCAAGGGCCAAGCUCAGGUAAUUAGUUCACCUGUAAAUUGUAAUUCUCCAUUUGUUUUUGCUUCUUUCUUCUUUUUUCUUUUAGAUUAAAGUGGGAUGUUUUGUAUUGGAUAAUUUUGGAUUUAACAGGAGAAGGCCGGUGGGAUGAUGGAUAAGGCUAACAAUGCAGCCCAAUCUACCAAGGAGACAAUGCAAGAUGUUGGUCAGAAUGUGCAGGCGAAGGCUCAAGGAGCUGCUGAUGCAGUCAAGAAUGCCACUGGCAUGAACAAAUGAAGCUGCUCAUGAUGAUCAUUUUCAUGACUUUUAAUGACUUUAUAGAGUUAAGAUGAUGGCAAACUUUCAUUUAGUUUUAUAGACUUUUAUGUCUAUUUUUUUUUUUCUGUCUUACCCUUCUUUUGAAAGAAGGAAUUGAAAAUUGCAUAGAAUUAUAAAAUAAUGGAAUUUAGAUCUUCAUCAUUUUAAGUUAUGGCAAUUAAUAAUUUCAGGGUUCAAAUUUAUGUAUAUCGAAUUUUGCAAAUGAAAAAUGAAAUUUCAGGAUUAAAAGAAUUCCUUCACUCAAUAGUGAAAUGAUGUCUCUUUUGAAUGAAAUUAAACCCAGAAAUCUUGAGUGCUUGACUUUUGUGCUAAAAUAGCCAAACAGUGAAAAUAUUAAAUUCUACUCUUCAAUUCUUUACUUUUAGCUAAAUAAUUAACGUAGGGUAAUAGCAGUAUGUAGUAUGACCAAAAGAAAACGAAUUCUAAUAUUAUCUUUUGAUCAUGAUGAAUUAACUCAUGAGAUCUAUAUAACCAAAAUAAUUAUUCAUGUAGAGAUUGAUGAAUAUCAAUUAUGAAUUCGUUGGGUUGAAUAUCAAUUAUGAAUUCGUUGGGUUAGAGACUUUUUCACCUCAGAUUUCUAAAGGUCUCAUUCUGGGCCUUGGUGCCUUAGGGAUUUUUGAAAUAUCCACCAGUUGACCAAACACAUUAAAAUACACUCAAGUCAAGAGAACCAAACUAACACAAAAAUACAGAAUGUGAAUGAACUUGGGGUAACUAUCAAGUAGAAAAAUUUAUAUAGAGCUAGUGUAUGCAGUAUUUUCCUCGUAAUAAGUGUUCACAUAACUAAGCACAUGAAAGAAUGUAGCGUGCAUGAAAGAGCUAGUGUAUGCAUUAUUUUUCUCAUAAUAAGUGGUCACAUAACUAAGCACAGGAAAGAAUAUAGCGUGUAUGAUGAUGUAUAAAACUCGUUACACAUAAGAUUUUUUGCGGUUAAAGACAAAAUGCACACUUGCCCAUAAACUGAAGGAUAAUAUCGCUUUUUAACUCAUGUGGAGGAUAACCCAACAAGUUUAUUAGCAUUUACUCAUAAGAUGUUCUGGCCUUUCAAUCAAAUAAAAAUAUCUCGUGGAUUGUGGAACAGUCUUGUGAAUUGUAAUUAAUUGAUAAUAUAAUCCAAUAUUACAAGAAUUCCAUAAUGCUGAAAAAAGUAAUUUCCAUUCACAAAACUAUAUAAGAAACCCUCAGAAUAGCAACUUUUAAGACUCAACAGCCUUCCUGGUCAAAAGGCUCACCCUAAGUUAUUGGCGACACGUGUUAUGGUCCAAAACCAUGACCAGGAUGAAAUGUGUGCAUGACAUCACACAUGUCGAGCAUUCAGCGGGUCUAAAAUCGUAUAUAAACCAUACCUAACCGUGAGAGAUUCAUCAUCAUCCAAUCAAAUUUGAGUUAUAACAACUUCAUCUGAUUUCCAAGUGUUUUCAAGAAAACAAAGCAAGAAGAAAAUGGCUGACAACUCUCAAAAGAUGAGCUACCAUGCUGGAGAGGCCAAGGGCCAAGCUCAGGUAAUUAGCUCACCUGUAAAUUGUAAUUCUCCAUUUAUUUUUGCUUCUUUCUUUGGUUUUCUUUUAUAUUAAAUUGGGAUGUUUUGUAUUGGAUAAUUUUGGAUUUAAUAGGAGAAGGCCAGUGGGAUGAUGGAUAAGGCUAACAAUGCAGCCCAGUCUACCAAGGAGACAAUGCAAGAUGUUGGUCAGAAUGUGCAGGCGAAGGCUCAAGGAGCUGCUGAUGCAGUCAAGAAUGCCACUGGCAUGAACAAAUGAAGCUGCUCAUGAUGAUCAUUUUCAUGACUUUUAAUGACUUUAUAGAGUUAAGAUGAUGGCAAACUUUCAUUGAGUUUUAUAGACUUUUAUGUAAUUUUUUCUUUCUUUCUUACCCUUCUUUUGAAAGAAUGAAUUGAAAAUUUCAUAGAAUUCUAAAAUGAUGGAAUUUAGAUCUCCAUCAUUUUAAGUUACGACAAUUAAUAUAAUUUCAGUGUUCGGAUUUAUGUAUAUCGAAUUUUACAAUUGAAAUUUCAGGGAAAAACGAAUUCCUUCACUCAAUAGAAAUUAUGAAAUGACUUCUCUUUUGAUUGAAAUUAAACUCAGAAAUCUUGAGUGCUUAACGUUCGUGCCAAAGUAGCCAAACAAUGGAAAUAUUAAAUUCUACUCUUCAAUUCUUAACUUUUAGCUAAAUAAUUAACGUAGGGGAAUAGCAGUAUGUAGUAUGACCACAAGAAAACAGAUUCUAAUAUUAUCUUUUGAUCAUGUUGAAUUAACUCAUGAGAUCUAUAUAACCAAACUAAUUAUUCAUGUAGAGAUUGAAGAAUAUCAAUUAUGAAUUCGUUGGGUUUGAGACUUUUUCAUCUCUGAUUUCUAAAGGUCUCAUUCUGAGCAUGGGUGCCUUAGAGCUUUUUGAAAUAUCCACCAGUUGACCAAAGACAUUAAAAUGCACUCAAGUCAAGAAACAAGACUCCAGAAAUCAGAAAUACAAGAGAACCAAACACACACGAAAAUACAGAAUGUGAAUAACUAAGCACGUGAAAGAAUGUAGCGUGCAUGAAAGAGCUGGUGUAUGCAUUAUUUUUUCCGUAAUAAGUGGUCAUAGAACUAAGCACGUGACAGAAUAUAGCGUGCAUGAUGAUGUAUAAAACUCGUUACACGUAAGAUUUUUUAUGAUUAAAGAUAAAAUGGACACUUGCCCAGAAACUGAAGGAUAAUAUCGUUUUUAACUCAUGUGAGGGAUAACCCAACAAGUUUAUUAGCAUUUACUCAUAAGAUGUUCUGGCCUUUCAAUCAAAUAACAAUAUCUCGUGGAUUGUGGAACAGUCUUCUGAAUUGUAAUUAAUAGAUAAUAUAAUCCAAUAUAAGAAUUCCAUAAUGCUGAAAAAAGUCAUUUUCAUUCACAAAACUGUCUAAGAAACCCUCAGAAUAGCAACUUUUAAGACUCAACAGCCUUCCUGGUCAAAAGGCUCACCCUAAGUAAUUGGGCGACACGUGUUAUGGUCCAAAACCAUGACCAGGAUGAAAUGUGUGCAUGACAUCACACAUGUCGAGCAUUCAGCUGGUCUAAAAUCGUAUAUAAACCAUACCCAAUUGUGAUCAGCAAAUCAAAUUUGAGUUAUAACAACUUCAUCUGAAUUUCAAGUGUUUUCAAGAAAACAAAGUAAGAAGAAAAUGGCUGACAACUCUCAAAAGAUGAGCUACCACGCUGGAGAGGCCAAGGGCCAAGCUCAGGUAAUUAGCUCACCUGUAAAUUGUAAUUUUCCAUUUGUUUUUGCUUCUUUCUUCUGUUUUUUUAUAGAUUAAUGUGGGAUGUUUUGUAUUGGAUAAUUUUGGAUUUAACAGGAGAAGGCCGGUGGGAUGAUGGAUAAGGCUAACAAUGCAGCCCAAUCUACCAAGGAGACAAUGCAAGAUGUUGGUCAAAAUGUGCAGGCGAAGGCUCAAGGGGCUGCUGAUGCAGUCAAGAAUGCCACUGGCAUGAACAAAUGAAGCUGCUCAUGAUGAUCAUUUUCAUGACUUUUAAUGACUUUGUAGAGUUAAGAUGAUGGCAAAAUUUCAUUGAGUUUUAUAGACUUUUAUGUAAUUUUUUUUUUCUUUCUUACCCUUCUUUAGAAAGAAAGAAUUUAAAAUUACAUAGAAUUCCAAAAUGAUGGAAUUUAGAUCUCCAUCAUUUUAAGUUACGGCAAUUAAUAAUUUCAGUAUUUGGAUUUAUGUAUAUCGAAUUUUACAAAUAAAAUUUCACGGAAAAACGAAUUCCUUCACUCAAUAGAAAUUGCGAAAUGACGUCUCUUUUUAUUGAAAUUAAACCCAGAAAUCUUGAGUGCUUGACUUUUGUGCUAAAAUAGCCAAACAGUGAAAGUAUUAAAUUCUACUCUUCAAUUCUUUACUUUUAGCUAAAUAAUUAACGUAGGGUAAUAGCAGUAUGUAGUAUGACCAAAAGAAAACGAAUUCUAAUAUUAUCUUUUGAUCAUGAUGAAUUAACUCUUGAGAUCUAUAUAACCAAAAUAAUUAUUCAUGUAGAGAUUGAUGAAUAUCAAUUAUGAAUUCGUUGGGUUUGAGACAAUUUCAUCUCUUAUUUCUAAAGGUCUCAUUCUCGGCCUGGGUGCCUUAGAGCUUUUUGAAAUAUCCACCAGUUGACCAAACACAUUAAAAUGCACUCAAGUCAAGAAACAAGACUCGUAAAUCAGAAAUACAAGAGAACCAAACACGCACAAAAAUACAUAAUGUGAAUGAACUUGGGGUAAUUAUCAAGUAGAAAAUUUUAUAUAAAGCCGGUGUAUGCCUUAUUUUCCUCGUAAUAAGUGUUCACAUAACUAAGCACGUGAAAGAAUGUAGCGUGCAUGAAAGAGUUGGUAUAUGCAUUAUUUUUCUCGUAAUAAGUGGUCACAUAACUAAGCACGUAAAAGAACAUAGCGUGCAUGAUAAUGUAUAAAACUCAUUACACGUAAGAUUUUUUGUGGUUAAAGAUAAAACACUUGUCCAGAAACUUUGGGACAAUAUCGCUUUUAACUCAUGUGGAGGUUAACCCAACAAGUUUAUUAGCAUUUACUCAUUAAUUAGAUGUUCUGGCCUUUCAAUCAAAUAAUAAUAUCUUGUGGCUUAUGGAACAAUCUUGUGAAUUGUAAUUAAUUGAUAAUAUAAUCCAAUAUUACAAUAAUUCCAUAAUGCUGAAAAAAGUAAUUUCCAUUCAAAAAACUGUCUAAGAAACCCUCAGAAUAGCAACUUGGAAGACUCAACAGCCUUCCUGGUCAGAAGGCUCACCCUAAGUUAUAGGGCGACACGUUUUAUGGUCCAAAACCAUGACCUGGAUGAAAUGUGUGCCUGGCAUCACACAUGUCGAGCAUUCAGCUGGUCUAAAAUCGUAUAUAAACCAUACCCAAUUGUGAGAUAUUCAUCAUUAGCAAACCAAAUUUGAGGUAUAAAAACAUCAUCUGAAUUUCAAGUGUUUUCAAGAAAACAAAGCAAGAAGAAAAUGGCUGACAACUCUCAGAAGAUGAGCUACCACGCUGGUGAGGCCAAGGGCCAAGCUCAGGUAAUUAGCUCAUGUGUAAUUCUCCAUUUGUUUUUACUUAUUUCUUCUACUUUCUUUUAAAUAUUACAUUAUUAUAUGUGAAUGUGCAUUGAGAUUGAUGUGGGGUGUUUUGUAUUGGAUACUUUUGGAUUUAACAGGAGAAGGCUAGUGGGAUGAUGGAUAAAGCUAACAAUGCAGCCCAAUCUACCAAGGAGACAAUGCAAGAUGUUGGUCAGAAUGUGCAUGCGAAGGCUCAAGGAGCUGCUGAUGCAGUCAAGAAUGCAACUGGCAUGAACAAAUGAAGCUGCUCAUGAUGAUCAUUUUCAUGACUUUUAAUGACUUUAUAGAGUUAAGAUGAUGACAAACUUUGUUUGAGUUUUAUAGACUUUUAUGUAAUUUUUUUUUCUUUCUUACUCUUCUUUUGAACGAAGGAACUGAAAAUUGCAUAGAAUUCUAAAAUGAUUGAAUUUAGAUCCCCAUCGUUUUCAUUUAUGGUAAUUAAUAAUUUUAGUAUUCGGAUUUAUGUAUGUUAAAUUUUGUAAAUGACAUAAAUUUUAGGGGAAAACGAAUUCUAAUAUCUUUUGAUCACGAUGAAUUAACUCAUGAGAUCUAUAUAACCAAAAUAAUUAUUCAUGUAGAGAUUGAUGAAUAAUAUCAAUUACGACUCUUGAGAUUGGGGCCCAAUUCGUUGGGUUUGAGACUUUUUCAUCUUUUAUUUCUAAAGACAUCGUUUUGGGCUUGGGUGCCUUAGUGCUUUUUGAAAUAUCCACAAGUUUACUAAACACAUUAAUGACAUGUUUAUUAAUCCGUAAUUAGAUUAGGAGCAAUUGAAUUGAUGAUGAAUUGAAUUGGGAAGGAGUUAGAUUGAGGAGAAUUAGAUUUCGGAUUCCUAUUGAAGUUCUUUACUAAACCGUAUGGAUUGAGGAGAAUUAAAUUCCGGAUUUCUAUUGAAGUUGUUUACUAAAUCAUAUGGAAUUGAGGUAAUAGUGGUACUAAUUACUAAAAUGACCUCGUUGUUUGGUUAAAGUAGAUGGCAAAUUUGAAAUUUUGAAAAUUGAGGAUAUAAUGGGUAACAAAGAUGAAUUCCUAAUAGAUUAGUUCUCCAGGAAUUAGAAUACCACUUCCCACCGAAGAAUUGAGUUUCUCCAAAAUUAGGAAUUCAAUUCCUAAUUUUAUAUGGCCCCACUUACUUUUUAAUUCUUUGAUGUGAAAUAAACACAGGAAUUCUCCAUAGGUGGAAUUCAAUUCUUGAUUAGUAAAAACACAAUAAAAUGCACUCAGGUCAAGAAACAGAACUCCGAAAAUCAGAGAUACAAGAGAACCAAACCAACACAAAAAUACAAAAUGUGAAUGAACUUGGGGAAACUAUCAAAUAGAAAAUUUUAUAUAGAGCUGGUGUAUGCAUUAUUUUUCUCGUAAUAAGUAUUCACAUAACCAAGCACGUGAAAGAAUGUAACGUGCAUGAAAGAGUUGGUGUAUGCAUUAUUUUUCUCGUAGUAAGUGGUCAAAUAACUAAGCACUUAAAAGAAUAUAGCGUGCAUGAUAAUGUAUAAAACUCAUUACAAGUAAGAUUUUUUGCGGUUAAAAGUAAAAUGCAUACUUGUCCAUAAACUUAGGGACAAUAUCGCUUUUAACUCAUGUGGAGGAUAACCCAACAAGUUUAUUAGCAUUUACUCAUAAGAUGUUUUGGUCUUUCUAUCAAAUAACAAUAUCUUGUGAGUCUUGCGAAUUAUAAUUAAUUGAUAAUGUAUUUUUAGGCGUAGUAAUUAAGGAAAUAUAAUCCAAUAUUAUAAGAAUUCCAUAAUACUGAAAAAAGUAAUUUCCAUAUUCAAAACUGUCUGAACCCUAAGAAUAGCAACUGUAGAUGAAGAUAAGACUCAACAGCCUUGUCCUGGUCCGAAAGGCUCAUCCCAAGUUAUAAGGCGACACGUGUUAUGGUCCAAAGCCAUGAAAUGUGUGAAUAGCUUCCGCAUGGCAUCACACGUGUCGAGCAUUCAGCUGGUUGAAAAUUCUAUAUAAACCCUACCCAAAUGUGAAAUAUUCAUCAUCAGCAAAUCAAAUUCGUGUUAUAAAAACUACAUCUGAAUUUCAAGUGCUUUCCUCCAGUUUCCAAGAAAACAAAGCAAGAAAAAAAUGGCUUCCAACUCUGAGAAGGUGAGCUACCACGCUGGUGAGGCCAAGGGCCAAGCUCAGGUAAUUUUCUUCACCUAUUAUUCUCCAUUUGUUCCUGCAUUUUUUGUUGUUGAAUAUUACAUAAUUUAUGCUGAAUGUGCAUUGAGAUUGAUGUAAUUUUUCAUUUAACAGGAGAAGGCGAGUGGGGUGAUGGAUAUGGCAAACAAUGCAGCCCAAUCUGCCAAGGAAACAAUGCAAGCGGCAGGCCAGAAUGUGCAGGCCACGGCUAUAGGAGCUGCUGAUGCAGUCAAGAAUGCCACUGGCAUGAACAAAAAAUGAAGCUAGCUGCUCAUCAUGAUCUCAAUAUGAGCAUUUGCAGUUUUUUUUUCUUUUUUUUGGGAGCUUUCUAGUAGUUGCUUUUGAUUUCUGUCUUCUAAACAAGGGAGCUCUAAGUCCUCUGGAGUUCUCAUCAUCUGGGUGUGUACUUUCGUUCACACUUGGUUUUAGUUUUUGUUUUCUUUUUCUUUUUGUUCAUGUUUAUCUCCUUUGAACAAGGAAAGUGGGCUCUGCCUAUUGUAGUUCUCACCUAAUUGAAUCAUAUGCUGUUUUUAAUCCCAUCUAUAUGUUCAAGAUUGGUCCUUUGUUUAUGCAGAUGAGCAAAAUCCGACCUAAGAGUUUCUGAAAAUAAAAAACAUAAAAAAAAGAAGAUAUAAAUUAAUUAAGCAAGUGCGACAACUCAUAAUUAAGAGAAGCUACUUUUGCAUCUGAUAGAAUUUUAUUGAUAAUGCGGGAUGAAAAUAAGUAAAAAAAUUAAGCUAUGUCUAAAUAAUUAGGUGAGCAUCUCUACACAUAAUGACGUAGUGGUCGUCGAACUAUCUAGAUAGUCUAUCUUCUCAACCUUCUCUCGUCGGACUACCUAUAGAUAGCCUCUCGUCGGACUACCUAGGUAGCCUACCUUCUCAACCUUCUCAACUACAAACGAAAAAAAUAAAAACCUUGCCACCGUUAGAGCGGCCCCAUCUCUCUAAGAUUAGCUACUUAACUAUAGAACAAUAUCGUGACUAUGUAGCUAAGUAGCUUUCCCACAUCAAAGAAAUUUCUGUGACCUUCUUCCGUGAAAUUAAAGUACCAUAAUUUGUUGAAAAUUAAAGCACUUUUGUCGAGAAAUAUCUAGAAAAAUCUAGAUAAGAUCACCGACCAAGCUAAAGUCUACAUAUGCCAGAACUGUCAUAUGAAAUAUCCAAUAUGGUACUAUUAGAUUGAUAAUACGAUAAAAACUAGUGGAGACCACAAAGUUGUGGUUAGGAAUGUAGCAGCAGCUCGGCUGAAAAUGUGUGGUUAGGAACAAAACAAGCCCAAGUGGGUGGAGCUUCAGCAUGUCGGCUGCUGUCAUCUGUAAAUGAAUUUGGUAUGUUUAUUUUAAAAUAAAUUAAUCCAUAAUUACAUUAAAUUACCUUUAUUAGUGGGAGUUAAAUUUCCAUUAAUAUGACUCAACUGCUUUAUGCUUGUGUCCAUUAACGUCUUUCUUGGUGGUAUACUAUGUGUAUAUGUUAGUUAUAGCUUGAAAAAGAAAAAGAGAGAAGCCACAGCCUUCUUCCUCUUAUGAUAAAAUUUGGGUUACUAACAAUACAUUUACAUUAAUUACUCUCUCUUGUAGAAAUGUGAUAUUAAUUUAUUGAUUGCAAUCAUUAAUAAAAUUUAGAGGAUUGACGGUAAUGACAAUAUGUAUAAAUGUUUUAAAAACAGUGGCCAAGGUUUUGUGUACUUGGUAGGCUUGUUAAGUUGCUGGACCCAAUUCUACAUCAAAAGAGAGGUGGAGUGCAUUUAUAGUGCAAACUCAAAAUUGGACCUAUAUCAAAAGACUCAUUCUUUUAAUUUAUGUAUUGAGAUUUCUAAGCAACAUAGUUAGAAAGGUGUUUGUUACCUUUUCUAAACUGCUUGCAUAAAUUGGGCGUAGAGCCGCGAAACGUCUGAAAGAGAACGACUUCGUACGUGACUCAUCCCAAGAAUCGUUCCAAACUACAUACUAAAUUUUUCGUGUAAUAUUGUUCUCUUAUUUUAAUUUGUUCAUCAACAAUUUAAAGACCUUUUCAUCUGCCAUUGAUGUGAAUAAUAAGGCUUAUAGAUUCUAUGACCAAAAGAACCAUGUUGUACUUGAAUCUAAAUGAUGUUUAAAAAAAAAGAAGAUAAAUUCUCAUAUAAAUUGAGAAAUUGUGGGGACUCAAGUUCUAGUAAUACAUCUUUCCCAUAAAUCAUGAACCUAGAUGUAUAGAACAUUUUUAACCAACUUAGAACCAAGGAAGAGUAAGAAAACGAAUUGCCAAGGAUUUUGGACCUAAUUUUCAUGUUCAUACCUUAGAGCAAGGAUUUUGGACCUAACUUUCACACUUGGUUUUUGUUUUUGUUCAUGUUAUCUCCUUUGAACAAGGAAAGUGGGCUCUGCCUAUUGUAGUUCUCACCUAAUUGAAGCAUAAUCUUUUUUCAUGUGCUGGUGUUAGAAUUAUCUUCAUCCUUUACUUCGAUUUAAUCCCAUCUAUAUAUUCAACUAGACAACGAUAGAAUCGUGACUGAAAAACUGCCGCUGAUGCCUUGCAAGAGACGAUGGUCACGUAUACGACGAUUAUGUGUCACAUAAGAGGACUGCACUGUGUCUAGAAAAAUCUAGAUAAGAUACCGACCAAGCUAAAGUCUACAUAUGCCAGAACAGUCAUAUAAAGUAUCUCGGCUGAAAAUAUGUGGUUAGGAACAAACAAGCCCAAGUGGGUGGAGCUUGGGCAUGUCGGCUGCUGUCAUUUGUAAAUGAAUUU
RNAcentral lists this long non-coding RNA (15534 nucleotides) under Prunus persica (peach). RNAcentral describes it as "long non-coding RNA (PPER_LNC003858)". The record is from RNAcentral. Lineage: Eukaryota; Viridiplantae; Streptophyta; Magnoliopsida; Rosales; Rosaceae.